AGCAGCUCGGGCGGCGGGAGGAGUGGCAGCGGCAAGGCAGCCCAGUUUCGCGAAGGCUGUCGGCGCGCCGCGGCCCGCAGGCACCCGGCACGCGCCUUCCCCGCAGGCACCCGGCACGCGCCUUCCCCGCCGCCACGAUGCCCAAGAGGAAGGUCAGCUCCGCCGAAGGCGCCGCCAAGGAAGAGGUGAGUGCGGGCCUUCUGCGGGGGGUGGUGGGUUUCCCGUGAGCCGCUGGCCUGCCUUCUCUUCUCGCUGACUCUCCUUUUUCUUUCUCCAAGCCCAAGAGGAGAUCGGCGCGGUUGUCAGCUAAACCUCCUGCAAAAGUGGAAGCGAAGCCGAAAAAGGCAGCAGCGAAGGAUAAAUCUUCAGACAAAAAAGUGCAAACAAAAGGGAAAAGGGGAGCAAAGGGAAAACAGGCCGAAGUGGCUAACCAAGAAACUAAAGAAGACUUACCUGCGGAAAACGGGGAAACGAAGACUGAGGAGAGUCCAGCCUCUGAUGAAGCAGG
This 508-nucleotide long non-coding RNA is filed under the name Homo sapiens (human). Its description in RNAcentral is "non-protein coding lnc-HMGN1-1:6". The record is from RNAcentral. Lineage: Eukaryota; Metazoa; Chordata; Mammalia; Primates; Hominidae.